Molecule: ribosomal RNA, 550 nt
Filed under: uncultured bacterium
Lineage: Bacteria
Description: bacterial SSU rRNA
Rfam family: Bacterial small subunit ribosomal RNA
Source: RNAcentral
UAGGGAAUCUUCGGCAAUGGACGGAAGUCUGACCGAGCAACGCCGCGUGAGUGAAGAAGGUUUUCGGAUCGUAAAGCUCUGUUGUAAGAGAAGAACGAGUGUGGGAGUGGAAAGUUCACACUGUGACGGUAUCUUACCAGAAAGGGACGGCUAACUACGUGCCAGCAGCCGCGGUAAUACGUAGGUCCCGAGCGUUGUCCGGAUUUAUUGGGCGUAAAGCGAGCGCAGGCGGUUAGAUAAGUCUGAAGUUAAAGGCUGUGGCUUAACCAUAGUAGGCUUUGGAAACUGUUUAACUUGAGUGCAAGAGGGGAGAGUGGAAUUCCAUGUGUAGCGGUGAAAUGCGUAGAUAUAUGGAGGAACACCGGUGGCGAAAGCGGCUCUCUGGCUUGUAACUGACGCUGAGGCUCGAAAGCGUGGGGAGCAAACAGGAUUAGAUACCCUGGUAGUCCACGCUGUAAACGAUGAGUGCUAGGUGUUAGACCCUUUCCGGGGUUUAGUGCCGUAGCUAACGCAUUAAGCACUCCGCCUGGGGAGUACGAUCGCAAGGUUG